CACAUGCAAGUCGAGGGCAUCACGAUGAAGUAGCAAUACGGAUGGUGGCGACCGGCGCACGGUGAGUAACACGUAUGCAACCUGCCUUCAACAAGGGAUAACCCGUUGAAAGACGGACUAAUACCCUAUAACACAGGGGCCCGCAUGGGGAUAUUUGUUAAAGAUUUAUCGGUUGAAGAUGGGCAUGCGUUCCAUUAGCUGGUUGGUGGGGUAACGGCCCACCGAAGGCAACGAUGGACUAGGGGAACUGAGAGGUUUAUCCCCCACACUGGUACUGAGACACGGACCAGACUCCUACGGGAGGCAGCAGUGAGGAAUAUUGGUCAAUGGACGCAAGUCUGAACCAGCCACGUCGCCGUGAAGGAAGACGGCCCUACGGGUUGUUAAACUUCUUUUGGCAAGGGAAUAAAGUGCAGUACGCGUACUGUUUUGCAAGUACCUUGCGAAUAAGGAUCGGCUAACUCCGUGCCAGCCGCAGC
This 479-nucleotide ribosomal RNA is filed under the name uncultured bacterium. Its description in RNAcentral is "bacterial SSU rRNA". It matches the Rfam family "Bacterial small subunit ribosomal RNA", at positions 52 to 518 of the family's 1533-position model. The record is from RNAcentral.